Molecule: ribosomal RNA, 253 nt
Filed under: uncultured bacterium
Lineage: Bacteria
Description: partial 16S ribosomal RNA
Rfam family: Bacterial small subunit ribosomal RNA
Source: RNAcentral
GACAGAGGGGGCAAGCGUUGCUCGGAAUUACUGGGCGUAAAGGGCGCGUAGGCGGCUUGGCAAGUGGAUGGUGAAAUCCCUCGGCUUAACCGAGGAACUGCCGUCCAAACUGCUUCGCUUGAGACCGGGAGAGGUGUGUGGAAUUCCCAGUGUAGCGGUGAAAUGCGUAGAUAUUGGGAGGAACACCAGUGGCGAAGGCGGCUCACUGGACCGGUACUGACGCUGAUGCGCGAAAGCGUGGGGAGCAAACGGG